This 253-nucleotide ribosomal RNA is filed under the name uncultured bacterium. Its description in RNAcentral is "partial 16S ribosomal RNA". It matches the Rfam family "Bacterial small subunit ribosomal RNA", at positions 524 to 776 of the family's 1533-position model. The record is from RNAcentral.
UACGUAGGGACCGAGCGUUGUCCGGAAUCAUUGGGCGUAAAGAGCGUGUAGGCGGCCACUUAAGUCCUGCGUGAAAUCCUGCGGCUCAACCGCAGGCGGUCGUGGGAAACUGGGUGGCUAGAGUGCGGGAGAGGAGAGUGGAAUUCCAGGUGUAGCGGUGAAAUGCGUAGAUAUCUGGAGGAACACCGGUGGCGAAGGCGGGUCUCUGGGCAGUAACUGACGCUGAGGAGCGAAAGCGUGGGGAGCGAACAGG